RNAcentral lists this ribosomal RNA (456 nucleotides) under uncultured organism. Its description in RNAcentral is "bacterial SSU rRNA". It matches the Rfam family "Bacterial small subunit ribosomal RNA", at positions 346 to 794 of the family's 1533-position model. The record is from RNAcentral.
GUGCAGCAGGCGAGAAUUUUUCUCAAUGGGGGGCAACCCUGAAGGAGCGACGCCGCGUGGAGGAUGAAGGCUUUCGGGUUGUAAACUCCUGUCAUUUGAGAACAAGUGGCCGAACCUAACUACUUCGGCCUUGAUAGUAUCAGAAGAGGAAGGGACGGCUAACUCUGUGCCAGCAGCCGCGGUAAUACAGAGGUCCCAAGCGUUGUUCGGAUUCAUUGGGCGUAAAGGGUGCGUAGGUGGCGCCGUCAGUGGGGUGUGAAAUUUCGGAGCUUAACUCCGAAACUGCAUUCCAUACUGCGGUGCUUGAGGACUGGAGAGGAGACUGGAAUUUACGGUGUAGCAGUGAAAUGCGUAGAGAUCGUAAGGAAGACCAGUGGCGAAGGCGGGUCUCUGGACAGUUCCUGACACUGAGGCACGAAGGCCAGGGGAGCAAACGGGAUUAGAUACCCGCGUAGU